UUUGUGGAGGAGCAACAUAAUGUUGCAGAUGUGCCCCAGCUGUGGAGUUACUUUGGAAACCAAGGGACAACCAACUUCUCUCUGAGGCUGGCCUGUAUCCGUCAUGCUAUGGAGGCUCUGACAUCCUCAGACAGUACCUCCCUUAAUUACCUCACCCACGCUGGGAGGAUGGUGUUGAGUGGACUGUCCAAGCUCAACCAGCAGGAUGUGAGGCAGUUUCAGCAGGCCUAUGACAUCCUGGUGAACUUCAUUAAUGAGCCAGCAAACAGGGAGCGACUAGAGCUGGAGAUGGCUCUUGUAGGAAUCAACCACAUCAACUUCACGGAUGUAUUUUAUGAAUUCGUUCUACUAAGCCUUCUAGAAGGAAAAACAUCUCUUCCAACAUCUAGGCCUGGUACCUUCUUUUAUCUGCUCAUGGAAGUGAUCAUGAGGAUUCGCCCUCCUGGAGGAGCCUGGACAGAGUCUGCUGGGAACUUCUACCUCCUCAUUAAGGAUCAGAUGAAGGCGUGGUUGGACUCCAUCUUCAACCUUGAUGAGUCCAUCUAUGAAAGCCCACAGAGGCUCUCGUGGCAGGUGAUGGUGAAUCUAGAAAUGCAGGUUGACUUCCUCCUGUCCAGCCUGGAUUAAGGGUCCCAAACUGAGCUGAGGAUCCCAAACAUAAAAUAAA
Molecule: long non-coding RNA, 667 nt
Filed under: Salmo salar (Atlantic salmon)
Lineage: Eukaryota; Metazoa; Chordata; Actinopteri; Salmoniformes; Salmonidae
Description: lncRNA (ENSSSAG00000122094.1)
Source: RNAcentral